GGGGAGAUCACCAAUGUCAUGGAGUACCAGGCCAUCGCGAAGCAGAAGCUUCCGAAGAUGAUCUACGACUACUACGCCUCUGGAGCUGAGGAUGAGUGGACUCUCAAGGAGAACAGGGAGGCAUUCUCCAGGAUCUUGUUUCGUCCCCGCAUCCUGAUCGAUGUCUCAAAGAUCGACAUGUCCGCAACUGUUCUUGGGUUCAAGAUAUCAAUGCCCAUAAUGAUUGCUCCCAGUGCCAUGCAGAAGAUGGCUCACCCUGACGGAGAGUAUGCAAC
RNAcentral lists this unclassified non-coding RNA (275 nucleotides) under Hevea brasiliensis (rubber tree). Lineage: Eukaryota; Viridiplantae; Streptophyta; Magnoliopsida; Malpighiales; Euphorbiaceae. The record is from RNAcentral.